This 1047-nucleotide small RNA is filed under the name Arabidopsis thaliana (thale cress). RNAcentral's name for it is "ATSL206020". Lineage: Eukaryota; Viridiplantae; Streptophyta; Magnoliopsida; Brassicales; Brassicaceae. The record is from RNAcentral.
UCGCAAAACGGAGCCCCUGAAGCCCAGUUUGAUCAAUGACAUACUCGAUCACUAGGAAGCUCAUUUCAGCCCGUUAGAUGCCAAUGACACAUUCUGUCGCAGGAUCAUGACGUGAAGAUUCGCUAUAUAUUUAGUUUCCUUAUUUGUUUCAUUUCUCGCUUAUAUAAACUGCCUCUUAGGGUUUUCCCUAGGGCAUCCGUUAUUAUCUCGCUUUUACAUUUUCGCAACUUUCAUAGCCGCAAUGUUUCUCCUGCGACUUUGUAAAUACCGCUUUUGUUUUUGUUUCUGUGUUUAUCUUGAAUUUUUUCACAAAUUUUGAUUACACAAGAGACUGUGUAAUUUAAGUUUGGGAGAGGGUUCAAGACGUAUUUGACUUGUUUUUUGUGAAUAUCAUUUGAGUCUGCAUAUCAUCUAAGUCAUAGAAAAAAACAAAAAAAAUGUUUUUUUUUGAAAAUGAAAUCCACAAAAACAGAGUGAUCAUUUAGUUGCAUUACAUUUAGAAUCGAGUCUAGAGUGUUUCAUAUAUGAUUGUUGCAUAUGCAUAGGGGAUAAUGAGGAAAUAGCCUUGUAAGCAUGAUGAUUCACUAAAAUGAGUUAUUAGUUCUUUGAGGCAUUUGAAUGACUUUGAAGUAAAACCGCACCAUGUUCUAUAGAAACCACUCGAUGCAUGUCAUGACACCUUUUCCUGUCAAUUUGAAAUUGAAUCUGACUUAUAAUUAUCAUGUUUGCAUCGUUUUUGAACUCGUGGAUAGAAUACAUAUUUGGAUUUUCUUUCACUUAUUCACCACUCUUGCUAAUCCAAGUAGCUGCUUCUAUUAUUGGAGUAGUUCCCCCACCCUUAACCAAUCCUUCUUUCAAGCCAUGUUAUUUUGUGAGAGCAUGUGAGGCCUAUUUUCAUGAUUGAGCUUGGUAGAACGUGUUAGGUUUGAGCCGACAAGAGUAGUAUCUCAUGUAGUUCCAAUCCGCGUUUUCGGACUUGGUAGGACUAGGUGGGAACUUAUUUGGGGAUUGAGAUUGAGUGAGAAAAGAAAAAGAAAGAAAAAUAAA